UACGUAGGGAGCGAGCGUUAUCCGGAAUUAUUGGGUGUAAAGGGUGCGUAGACGGGUAAAUAAGUUAGUUGUGAAAUCCCUCGGCUCAACUGAGGAACUGCAACUAAAACUGUAUAUCUUGAGUGCGGGAGAGGAAAGUGGAAUUCCAUGUGUAGCGGUGAAAUGCGUAGAUAUAUGGAGGAACACCGGUGGCGAAAGCGGCUCUCUGGCCUGUAACUGACACUGAGGCUCGAAAGCGUGGGGAGCAAACAGG
This 253-nucleotide ribosomal RNA is filed under the name uncultured bacterium. Its description in RNAcentral is "partial 16S ribosomal RNA". It matches the Rfam family "Bacterial small subunit ribosomal RNA", at positions 524 to 776 of the family's 1533-position model. The record is from RNAcentral.